RNAcentral lists this ribosomal RNA (1238 nucleotides) under metagenome. Its description in RNAcentral is "bacterial LSU rRNA". It matches the Rfam family "Bacterial large subunit ribosomal RNA", at positions 1564 to 2808 of the family's 2925-position model. The record is from RNAcentral.
CUAGUACAAAAUAUUGAGAUAUUAAAGUAGUUUAGGUCAUGCUUCCAAGAAAAGCUCGCAAUGUCAUAGAUAAAAAAUGCCUGUACCAUAACCGACACAGGUGGGUAAGUAGAGUAUACUAAGGGGCGCGAGAUAACUCUCUCUAAGGAACUCGGCAAAAUAACUCCGUAACUUCGGGAGAAGGAGUACCUUAUUAAAUAAGGUUGCAAUAACAAGAUCCAAGCAACUGUUUAUCAAAAACACAGGUCUCCGCUAAGUCGUAAGACGAUGUAUGGGGGCUGACGCCUGCCCAGUGCCAGAAGGUUAAAGAAGUUAGUUAGUCUACAGAUAAAGCUGAUAACUGAAGCCCUGGUGAACGGCGGCCGUAACGAUAACGGUCCUAAGGUAGCGAAAUUCCUUGUCGGGUAAGUUCCGACCCGCACGAAAGGCGUAAUGAUUUGGAUACUGUCUCAGAGAGGGGCUCGGUGAAAUAGACUUGUCUGUGAAGAUGCGGACUACCUGCACCUGGACAGAAAGACCCUAUGAAGCUUUACUGUAGCUUGAAAUUGAAAUUGGACUUUAUAUGCGCAGGAUAGGUGGGAGGCGUUUGAAAAUAUACUUACGGGAAUAUUGGAGCCAUCAGUGAGAUACCACUCUUAUAAUGUUAGAUUUCUAACUUUUAUCCUAAUCGGGUUAAAGGACAGUUUCAAGUGGGCAGUUUGACUGGGGCGGUCGCCUCCUAAAUGGUAACGGAGGCGCACAAAGGUUUCCUCUGAACUGGUAGAAAUCGUAUCUAGAGUGUAAAGGCAAAAGGGAGCUUGACUGUGAGACUCACAAGUCGAGCAGGGACGAAAGUCGGUCUUGGUGAUCUGACGGUGCUGAGUGGAAAGGCCGUCACUCAACGGAUAAAAGUUACUCUAGGAUAACAGGCUGAUCUCCCCCAAGAGUUCACAUCGACGGGGAGGUUUGGCACCUUGAUGUCGGCUCAUCGCAUCCUGGGGCGGUAGUACGUCCCAAGGGUUGGGCUGUUCGCCCAUGAAAGCGGUACGCGAGCUGGGUUCAGAACGUCGUGAGACAGUUCGGUCCAUAUCCGGUGUAGGCGUUAGAAUAUUGAGAGGAGCCUUUUUUUAGUACGAGAGGACCAAGAAGGACAUACCGCUGGUGUACCAGUUAUCAUGCCAAUGGUAAACGCUGGGUAGCUAUGUAUGGAGAGGAUAACCGCUGAAAGCAUCUAAGUGGGAAGCCCACCUCAAGAUGAG